RNAcentral lists this transfer RNA (87 nucleotides) under Streptomyces scabiei. RNAcentral describes it as "tRNA-Met". It matches the Rfam family "tRNA". Rfam says of the family: Transfer RNA (tRNA) molecules are approximately 80 nucleotides in length. Their secondary structure includes four short double-helical elements and three loops (D, anti-codon, and T loops). Lineage: Bacteria; Bacillati; Actinomycetota; Actinomycetes; Kitasatosporales; Streptomycetaceae. The record is from RNAcentral.
GGGGGCUCUCAACUUCGGAUGUGCUGGACGGAGCCGCGGAUUCAUAAUCCGUGGGCCGUGGGUUCGAGUCCCACCCGCCCCCCACCA